Molecule: long non-coding RNA, 2736 nt
Filed under: Mus musculus (house mouse)
Lineage: Eukaryota; Metazoa; Chordata; Mammalia; Rodentia; Muridae
Description: long non-coding RNA chr19:29818145-29820881
Source: RNAcentral
AUAGACACUGUCGGGGCCAGGCGUGGUGGUGCACGCCUUUAAUCCCAGCACUUGGGAGGCAGAGGCAGGUAGAUUUCUGAGUUCGAGGCCAGCCUGAUCUACAGAGUGAGUUCCAGGACAGCCAGAGCUAUACAGAGAAACCCUGUCUCGAAAAACAAAAACAAAUAAACAAACAAAUAAACAAAAGACACUGUCUGAGUCCUCGUUGCUAAAUAGGGAACAUCCAGAACCUGUCUAGGAAAACUUGGAGUUUCGGAGCCAUUGAAAGCUCUGCAUGGCCAUCUGCGUGAGAGGCUCCACCCAGCAGCUGACUCAGACAGAUGGACAUUGACACCCACAGCCAAACAGUGGAUGGGGCUUGGGGAAUUUUAUGAAAGAAUAGGAGGAAGGACUGUGGGCCUCAAAGGGAAUAGGACCUCCACAGGAACCAACAGAGUCAACUAACCUGGACUCUUAGGGCUCUCAGAGUCUGACUCACCAACCAAAGACCUACGUCUUUCGCACUUGAACCCAGUUGAACUGCUGUGUGAAGGAAAAUGCUACACAAACUUAGUUCAGAAACAAUGAUAGCUAAAUCUCUGGGUGCAACAACUAAAAUCCUAAUCUUGUAAGCCUUAUUAAAUCUGAAUUCCCCCGUGGUGAAUCCUGAUUGAUCCACUGUUGAAACCAGGAGACACUAGUAAUUACAUCUUGUCCUCAUGCUAUCCCCGUCCAAAAGAGACCUAACUCUUUCCUGCUUCCUCUCUUCCUCUGUCCAAUCUGGAAGUCCCACCUACUUGCCCAGUGAUUGGCUCCUUUAUUCAUUAGAAGAUUGGUUCACAAGAACAGCACCAGGCCCAUCUACAACAAAUAUGAAUAUAGAAAAAUCGUACAACAUUAAUUAAUGUGGGACUGUUUCCUCCACUUUUUCUAUUCUCCAUUCCCAAGGUCAUUUGUGCAUUUUUCCCCUUGGGGUCUAUUUGUAAGGAAAGGAGCAGUUGGCUGACGGGAGUUCUCUCUGCGCUAUAGAAGCUUCAGUUCAUCAAGGAGAUUGUGUUGAGGUGGGUGGGGAAGAAGGAACAGGGAGGAUGUUGGGUAGCCUUUCAGGGAAAGAAUUAAGAUAGAGAGAGCAGAUAUUUCUAUCAGGUUUGUGGAGAUGAAGGAACUGGAUCCUCUCAUGUUCGUGGUCUAAAGGUGAGGCUGCUUGCUAAUUGCAUAGCUCCUAGCCCUGGAAAAUCCCAGCAUGUGCACAACAAGGUGGUAUGACAGCUUCCAACUUCCAAGAUGUCACUUGAGUUUGAGUAAUGAGGGUGUCAGGGGUGGCUCCUGUGACCAAAGCCCAGAGGGAGUUCUCUGCUUACUUUUUUUUUCUUGAUAAGUCCCAUGGGAUGAGACUUUAAUACAAAACAAAACAACACAACAAACGUAGUCGAACCAGAGGUGUCUGGAAUUAUAGACAUAAGCCUGAGGUGAGCUACUAUCAGGGCACAGGCAGUGGAACCUCAAAGGGACCUUUGAUAUCCAUAGCCAUGGCUGGAGUCAUAGCCAAGGCUUAGAGGAAAUGAAGUAAGGGCUCAGGUGUUUGGUACAGGAAGCCAGGCUUAAUGAUGGCUAAGGAAUAGGAGGCUCAGAGAGCUUUACAUUUUUAUUUUCAUUCUGGUUUUAACAAGUAAUACUUUUUUGGAGAAAAAUUAGCUUAAUUUGGUUAAAUGUGAAUGUAAUCUUUCUGAUAUAGCCUUUGUGGUCUACAGUUUAUUUUUACAAUAGCAAUGCAAUGUUCAAUAUAAGCACUUUUUUUUUUUCGAGAUAGGAUUUUUCUGUGUAGCCCUGGCUGUCCUGGAACUCACUCUGUAGACCAGGCUGGCCUCGAACUCAGAAAUCCACCUGCCUCUGCCUCCCAAAUGCUGGGAUUAAAGGAGUGCACCACCACGCCCGGCUAUAAGCAUAUUUAGGAGAACGAGAUUUCUUCUAAUAAUACACUAAUACACAUAAACAGUCACAUACAUAUACAUAUGUACUCAUGUCUAAAAUAUAAGGUUAAAAAAAUUGUGGGGCUGAGUGUAGAGCUUCAUGCCUUUAAUCCUAGUAUUUGAGAGACAGAUAGAGGAGGGAAUCUCAGUGAGUUUAAGGCCAGACUGGUCUAUACAGCAAGUUCCAGGUCAGCCAGAGUUGCUUAGUGAGAACUUAUCUUAAAACAAAACCAAAGAAACUCAUCCAAAUAAACUUAGGGUGUGCCUACCCUUGUAUGUUGGUGUCUGACUCUAACACCCCACCCCCAACACACCAUCACCAAAGCUGAUCUGGAACCUUUCCCUGCUUAUCCAAAGAGUUGCUUUGCAUUUGACAGGCAGCUCCAUCCUUUAUUCUGCACCGGAUCGUUGUGGACCAUUGCUCCAUUACAUCAUAACUCCUCACACUGAAAAGUCCUGGAUUCCAGAAACAUCAUCACCAUCAUCACCAUCACCAUCACCAUCAUCAUCAUCAUCAACAACAACAACAACAACAAAAACCAAACUGAACAAACAAAAAGCCAACUCAGACCAGAUGCCUUUGCCACAUCACCCUCUUGGCUCUCAAUUAAUUUACACAGGUUCUUAAAUAGGUUAUGUUAUGUUGGAAUAAUGAACUAUAAUAUCUAAUCCCCACAUAUCUCAGGCUUAGUAUGAGAUUUAUUUCAAAAGCAUGUCACAUGGUCACUAUGGUUCAGUAGUGCGACACUGCUCAUUGUAAUUAAGGCCUCAGGCUGAUGAGUAUUUU